GGGAGAGCGGGGCUACCUGCAGUCGACGAACCUUCGGGUUAGUGGCGGACGGGUGAGUAACGCGUGAGAAUCUGCCCUCAGGAGGGGGAUAACGGUUGGAAACGACCGCUAAUACCCCAUAUGCCUAUUGGUGAAAUGAAUUUCGCCUGAGGAUGAGCUCGCGUCUGAUUAGCUUGUUGGUGAGGUAAUGGCUCACCAAGGCUUCGAUCAGUAGCUGGUCUGAGAGGAUGAUCAGCCACACUGGGACUGAGACACGGCCCAGACUCCUACGGGAGGCAGCAGUGGGGAAUUUUCCGCAAUGGGCGAAAGCCUGACGGAGCAACGCCGCGUGAGGGACGAAGGCCUCUGGGCUGUAAACCUCUUUUCUCAAGGAAGAAGAUAUGACGGUACUUGAGGAAUAAGCCACGGCUAAUUCCGUGCCAGCAGCCGCGGUAAUACGGGAGUGGCAAGCGUUAUCCGGAAUUAUUGGGCGUAAAGCGUCCGCAGGCGGCUUUUCAAGUCUGCUGUUAAAACGUGGAGCUUAACUCCAUCAUGGCAGUGGAAACUGAAAGGCUUGAGUAUGGUAGGGGCAGAGGGAAUUCCCGGUGUAGCGGUGAAAUGCGUAGAUAUCGGGAAGAACACCAGUGGCGAAGGCGCUCUGCUGGGCCAUUACUGACGCUCAUGGACGAAAGCCAGGGGAGCGAAAGGGAUUAGAUACCCCUGUAGUCCUGGCCGUAAACGAUGAACACUAGGUGUCGGGGGAAUCGACCCCUUCGGUGUCGUAGCUAACGCGUUAAGUGUUCCGCCUGGGGAGUACGCACGCAAGUGUGAAACUCAAAGGAA
RNAcentral lists this ribosomal RNA (822 nucleotides) under uncultured marine bacterium. Its description in RNAcentral is "bacterial SSU rRNA". It matches the Rfam family "Bacterial small subunit ribosomal RNA", at positions 68 to 909 of the family's 1533-position model. The record is from RNAcentral.